This is a long non-coding RNA of Cyprinus carpio carpio, 1331 nucleotides long. The record is from Ensembl. Lineage: Eukaryota; Metazoa; Chordata; Actinopteri; Cypriniformes; Cyprinidae.
AGAAAAUAAACACAAGCACACCCAUCACAUCUGGAGAGCAGCGUUGCUGAACAUUGAUCACUGCUCAACAAAGAUGCCUUCAGGCCAUUGGAAGUGCGUCAUCACAGUCAGCAGAAAGUGUGAGUAACGCCAGUAACCGAUGCCAAUCCCUGUUUUUCUCACUCCAGCAGAGGUGGAGAUUACUAUGUUACCAGACACAGUUUUUCUUCUUCCUCCUUUUCAUGAUAAAUGCCCUCUCGCCCUGCCACCAAACCGCUCUAUUUUUAGCUCUGAUGUCAAAGAGGCCUGCAAGAAUCUCUGUGGGCCGCGAUUCACAUGAACGAUGAAAUCAUCACAAAGUACAGUCUCUCUUUUUCACCCCUGCGCUGCGAAAGGAGUGUGUGAAAUGGAAAUGAGUGUUGCUUUUUUGUCCUCGUGACACGAGAAACUAGGCGCUCUUGUGAACGAUGGAACGCCAUCAGAUCCGCCGAAAAACUGGAGCGCCGAUGGAGGGAGGGAGCGAGAAGAGAACAAAAACAACUCAGAGGACCAAAACAGAUUUUGACAAGAGAGAGGGGAAAGAGAAGCAGACAGGCCAGUCUUUUGUGUGGCAGACAGACUUGUUUAGGACGAGGAGGAUUUGAUCAGCUGAUAACGUGAGUGACUAUUUGCACUGGCUGAUCUGGGCUCUGAGUUUCUGCAUCAGACGCAGUAGAAAGUGUGCAUGGUAAACAGAGCUGCGGUCCAGCGUCAGCAUCCCGUGGCUCAUUGUAUCCACAUCCUGCUCUAUACAAUCCCAGACGAUAUCGCCGAGGUAUGCGCUGGACUGCGGCCCAGAGCGAAAGCUAUGCACAUCCUCUCCCAUUCCUAAACAAAGAAAAAUGUUAAUAACAGACCUUGCUUGGACACUUAAGAACACGGGAAUGAACUUUCUUUCAUUGUUGUUUGUGCACAUCUGGAUUUCGGUAGGAAAGGCUGUGUGGCGUCUCCUCCUCUGCUGGCAGUCGGGCUCAAGUUUGUGGGAUGAAAAUAAUCCGGUGUCAUCCAGUGCAGGCCGUGGCCGAGUCAGAGAGGAUACGCGGUGCUGGGUGGAUUCACUGGAUGCUUGAGCUCAGCAGGAGCUUUGCCAGGAGAGCGUGUGUGUGGAAGAAGCUGUGGUUGCACUCUUGUGGUUGUGUAUAUGUGUGUUGGCUCUUGCUAAAAGCAUUCUGUGUCUGCGCAUUUAUGAGCGGCUUAGUGGCAAAUUGUCGAAAAAUUAAGCUUUGUGAUUUUAAAUACACAUAUGUUAAGGUACAAUAAAAUAUUAGCAUGCAUUAAAUUGGCACAUGUUUUAAAUAAACUUUUAAGGGAAC